Molecule: ribosomal RNA, 454 nt
Filed under: uncultured bacterium
Lineage: Bacteria
Description: bacterial SSU rRNA
Rfam family: Bacterial small subunit ribosomal RNA
Source: RNAcentral
AAUCAACGCUGGCGGCGUGCCUCAGACAUGCAAGUCGAACGAUUAAAGCUCUCUUCGGAGAGUGUAUAGAGUGGCGCACGGGUGAGUAACACGUAAGUAAUCUACCUUUGAGUGGGGAAUAACAGUCGGAAACGACUGCUAAUACCGCAUAAUGCAGCGGCACCGCGAGGUGACAGUUGUUAAAGGAGCAAUUCGCUUAAAGAGGAGCUUGCGGCAGAUUAGCUUGUUGGUAAGGUAACGGCUUACCAAGGCUACGAUCUGUAUCCGGUCUUAGGGGACGGUCGGACACACUGACACUGAAUAACGGGUCAGACUCCUACGGGAGGCAGCAGUCGGGAAUUUUGGGCAAUGGGCGAAAGCCUGACCCAGCAACGCCGCGUGAAGGAUGAAGUAUUUCGGUAUGUAAACUUCGAAAGAAUAGGAAGAAUAAAUGACGGUACUAUUUAUAAGGUCC